AUAGAAAAUAUGUCCAAAGCUAGAAUAUAGUGUCUAUAGUUUCUUCUACAUAUUUAAUAGUUUUGGGUGUUACAUCCAGGUCUUUAAUUUGUUUUGAAUUAAUUUUUGUAUAUACAGCUAAAGAAUGUUGCAUUUUUAUUAUUUUGCAUUGGUUAUUCAGUUUCUCCAACACUAUUUCUUAAAGAUUUAAAUGUUUGAAUGUGGUUUUCUCUUUUCAUCUAUUUUUUUUCCACUUCUUCUCCUCUCAAUUCACAAAGGAAAAGCAUAUUCUCACCUAUCCAAAAUCAUGGUAUAUUAUCAUGGGGAUUCAAAUAUCUCUAGAGGUACCAAAGAGACAAAGGUGCUAUAAAUCAGAGGUGAGAUUUUGUGUCUUUUCCUAUCUAAUACUUGUGGGUAUCAGGAGUUAUGUUAGGUAUUAGAAUGAAUCUGUUGACUAAUGUUGAGAUGUUCAGAGUUGUAAUAUAUUAUAGAAAGAUAGGGCAAAAUUUGUGGCAUUUUUCAUCUUAAAGAUCUUGUUUUUAUUAUAUGCAAAUACUUGACUCUUGAAGAAGAGUUCUACAAGAAUAAGGCAUGGCCCAGGAAGUUUAUGGGAAAUAAAGCCUUGAACUUGAAAAAACAACAGUAACCAAGAUAACCAGAUCCUGAGCAAUGAAUUGAAGAUUUCCACACACCCCCCAAGCUUGCUGCAUCUGCUUCUGUGAUAACACUUUCUGCUCUCAGCCCACAGCCCCCUCUAGAAGCUUUGACUUUCCCUUUGAUUGGAGCCCAGAAUUCUUUUUUUUUUUUUUAUCUAAGAAAGAAUAAAUUAACAAAACCAUAGGGUAGGAGGAGUACAACUCCACACAAUUCCCACCACCCAAUCUCCAUAUCCCAUCCCCUCCCCUGAUAGCUUUCCCAUUCUCUAUCCCUCUGGGAGUAUGGACCCAGGGUCAUUGUGGGUUGCAGAAGGUGGAAGGUCUGGCUUCUGUAAUUGCUUCCCCACUGAACAGAAUUCUUUUAAGAUCAUGAGCUCUUUCUGUGGCCCAUUAGCAUCAACAAACUGUGUUCUUGAUGACAGAAGACCUAGUGAGGGUUGUAUUGUUAUGUGGAAAACUGAGAAAUGCUAUGUCAUGUACAAACUAUUGUAUUUACUAUCAAAUGUAAAACAUUAAUCCCCCAAUAAAGGAAAACAAUAAUAAACUGUGUUCUCCUCACA
Erinaceus europaeus (western European hedgehog) is the source of this 1195-nucleotide long non-coding RNA. RefSeq lists it as uncharacterized. The record is from RefSeq and is a predicted model, not a curated record. The transcript has 2 exons. NCBI's taxonomy places the organism in Eukaryota, Metazoa, Chordata, Mammalia, Eulipotyphla, Erinaceidae.